This 274-nucleotide ribosomal RNA is filed under the name uncultured bacterium. RNAcentral describes it as "partial 16S ribosomal RNA". It matches the Rfam family "Bacterial small subunit ribosomal RNA", at positions 523 to 796 of the family's 1533-position model. The record is from RNAcentral.
AUACGAAGGUGGCGAGCGUUGUUCGGAUUUACUGGGCGUAAAGGGCGCGUAGGCGGCGUGACACGUCAGGGGUGAAAGGCCCGGGCUCAACCUGGGAACGGCCUUUGAAACUGUCAUGCUAGAGACCGGGAGAGGAUGGCGGAAUUCCCAGUGUAGAGGUGAAAUUCGUAGAUAUUGGGAAGAACACCGGUGGCGAAGGCGGCCAUCUGGACCGGAUCUGACGCUGAGGCGCGAAAGCGUGGGGAGCAAACAGGAUUAGAUACCCCGGUAGUCC